GACGAACGCUGGCGGCGUGCUUAACACAUGCAAGUCGAACGGAAAGGCCCUGCUUUUGUGGGGUGCUCGAGUGGCGAACGGGUGAGUAACCCGUGAGUAACCUGCCCUUGACUUUGGGAUAACUUCAGGAAACUGGGGCUAAUACCGGAUAGGAGCUCCUGCUGCAUGGUGGGGGUUGGAAAGUUUCGGCGGUUGGGGGUGGACUCGCGGCUUACCAGCUUGUUGGUGGGGUAGUGGCUUACCGAGGCGUUGACGGGUAGCCGGCCUGUGGGGGUGAUCGGCCACAUUGGGACUGAGAUACGGCCCAGACUCCGACGGGAGGCAGCAGGGGGGAAUAUUGCACAAGGGGCGGAGGCCUGAUGCAGAAACGCCGCGUGCGGGAUGACGGCCUUCGGGUUGUAAACCGCUUUCGCCUGUGACGAAGCGUGUGUGACGGUAAUGGGUAAAGAAGCACCGGCUAACUACGGGC
This 469-nucleotide ribosomal RNA is filed under the name uncultured bacterium. Its description in RNAcentral is "partial 16S ribosomal RNA". It matches the Rfam family "Bacterial small subunit ribosomal RNA", at positions 28 to 508 of the family's 1533-position model. The record is from RNAcentral.